This 363-nucleotide ribosomal RNA is filed under the name uncultured bacterium. RNAcentral's name for it is "bacterial SSU rRNA". It matches the Rfam family "Bacterial small subunit ribosomal RNA", at positions 293 to 671 of the family's 1533-position model. The record is from RNAcentral.
UGAGAGGGUGACCGGCCACACUGGGACUGAGAUACGGGAGACACCUACGGGAGGCAGCAGUGGGGAAUAUUGCACAAUGGGCGAAAGCCUGAUGCAGCGACGCCGCGUGAGGGAUGACGGCCUUCGGGUUGUAAACCUCUUUCACCAUGGACGAAGCGCAAGUGACGGUACCUGUGGAAGAAGGACCGGCCAACUACGUGCCAGCAGCCGCGGUAAUACGUAGGGUGCGAGCGUUGUCCGGAAUUACUGGGCGAAAGAGCUCGUAGGUGGUUUGUCGCGUUGUUCGUGAAAACUCACAGCUUAACUGUGGGCGUGCGGGCGAUACGGGCAGACUAGAGUACUGCAGGGGAGACUGGAAUUCCU